GAAGCUGAUGACAUGGACGAUCCUGCUCCCACCUACUGCUUCAUGGCAUGUGGUGCCAAGGUAAAAUCACAUGAUGCUUACUUUCAAAUAUCAAGUGAAGAUGACUCUGAUUGUGAAUCCAAACCCAGCUACAAAACACUUGCUAAAAUUGCUACUGAACAACAAAGGGCUAUGGAACAUACUCAAAAACUGUUAGACAAAAGCGAUGACCUGUUGGACGUGGAAAUGACACGUUCACAGUCCUUAGUAGAGGACAUAAAAAAUCUUCAUGCUAAGUACCAAGAACUUGAAAGUCUUCAUGAGACGCUCUCAACC
Molecule: ribosomal RNA, 315 nt
Filed under: Triticum aestivum (bread wheat)
Lineage: Eukaryota; Viridiplantae; Streptophyta; Magnoliopsida; Poales; Poaceae
Description: partial small subunit ribosomal RNA
Source: RNAcentral